GCCAAACAUUGUGGUGCAUGCUUGUAAUCCCAGUGACUUGGGAGGCUGAGGCAGGAGGAUCUUAAGUUUGAGCCUAGCCUCAGCAAUUUAGCAAGAUCCUGUCUCAA
This 107-nucleotide small RNA is filed under the name Marmota monax (woodchuck). Lineage: Eukaryota; Metazoa; Chordata; Mammalia; Rodentia; Sciuridae. The record is from RNAcentral.